Molecule: non-coding RNA, 67 nt
Organism: Gossypium hirsutum (cotton)
Lineage: Eukaryota; Viridiplantae; Streptophyta; Magnoliopsida; Malvales; Malvaceae
Source: Rfam
AUUCUAUGAUGAGGUUAUUUUUGUAAUAAUUCUUUGAAUCUCUCUCAUGCCUCAUCAUACUAAGAAU